CCUACGGGUGGCAGCAGUGGGGGAUAUUGCACAAUGGGGGAAACCCUGAUGCAGCGACGCCGCGUGAGUGAAGAAGUAUUUCGGUAUGUAAAGCUCUAUCAGCAGGGAAGAAAAUGACAGUACCUGACCAAGAAGCCCCGGCUAACUACGUGCCAGCAGCCGCGGUAAUACGUAGGGGGCAAGCGUUAUCCGGAUUUACUGGGUGUAAAGGGGGCGCAGACGGCGAUGCAAGCCAGGAGUGAAAGCCCGGGGCCCAACCCCGGGACUGCUCUUGGAACUGCGUGGCUAGAGUGCAGGAGGGGCAGGCGGAAUUCCUGGUGUAGCGGUGAAAUGCGGAGAUAUCAGGAGGAACACCGGUGGCGAAGGCGGCCUGCUGGACUGCAACUGACGUUGAGGCCCGAAAGCGUGGGGAGCAAACAGGAUUAGAUACCCGGGUAGUC
This 440-nucleotide ribosomal RNA is filed under the name uncultured bacterium. RNAcentral's name for it is "partial 16S ribosomal RNA". It matches the Rfam family "Bacterial small subunit ribosomal RNA", at positions 338 to 795 of the family's 1533-position model. The record is from RNAcentral.